GGGUCUGUAGCUCAGUUGGUUAGAGCGCACCCCUGAUAAGGGUGAGGUCGGAAGUUNCAACUCUUCCCAGACCCA
RNAcentral lists this transfer RNA (75 nucleotides) under uncultured gamma proteobacterium EF100_93H11. RNAcentral's name for it is "tRNA-Ile". It matches the Rfam family "tRNA". From Rfam's summary of the family: Transfer RNA (tRNA) molecules are approximately 80 nucleotides in length. Their secondary structure includes four short double-helical elements and three loops (D, anti-codon, and T loops). Further hydrogen bonds mediate the characteristic L-shaped molecular structure. tRNAs have two regions of fundamental functional importance: the anti-codon, which is responsible for specific mRNA codon recognition, and the 3' end, to which the tRNAs corresponding amino acid is attached (by aminoacyl-tRNA synthetases). tRNAs cope with the degeneracy of the genetic code in two manners: having more than one tRNA (with a specific anti-codon) for a particular amino acid; and 'wobble' base-pairing, i.e. permitting non-standard base-pairing at the 3rd anti-codon position. Lineage: Bacteria; Pseudomonadati; Pseudomonadota; Gammaproteobacteria. The record is from RNAcentral.